This 61-nucleotide transfer RNA is filed under the name Protocruzia adhaerens. Its description in RNAcentral is "Protocruzia adherens tRNA". Lineage: Eukaryota; Ciliophora; Spirotrichea. The record is from RNAcentral.
CCGAGAUCGUAUUAUGCAUGCAAGCUCCUGAAAAAAGCCUAAUUGUGGAUCCUUCCAGCAA